UACAGAUAUUAAAGGCUGUAGAGAGAUGCUGUCUAAUCGCAUCUAGAAAUUGAAAGAACACUAGUAGCUGUGCACAGAUGCAGUUCAUAUUUUCCCCCAAUCUUGAUGGGAUGUUCUCUUUUCUUUAGGCGUCACAUCGAUCAGAGCCUGAAGUCACAGUCCAGGAGCUUGUCAAACCCUUCAACAACCACAAUACCAAGACUAGUAGUACUAUUACUUCUACUACUACUACUACAGAACCACAAUACCAAGACUAGUAGUACUAUUACUUCUACUACUACUACUACAGAACCACAACUACCAAGAGUACUACAACAGAACCAGAAGGAUGGAAACAGCUACCGACUUGGCUCUGGACGACUGAAAUCAUAUCUGUAGCAGCAGCUAUGGACAAGGAGACAGUGGUCAUAAUCCUACAAGGCACGGAGAAAGUCUCCUCUUUUGCCGCCACCAUCAACCCACUCUUCGACAUAGUCACUGCAGUGGUGAAGUUGACAUAGGACCUGGUCGCCAAAGACCUCACCCAAGACCAGGACGCCGACGAAUUCGGCCACAUCCACGCCAAGCUGGAAAACAUCUCCAAGAUAAACCAGCAGAUUCUGAAGCAGAGUCAACUGGACGAGGUCAAUGAGAAGUACAGAAAGUAUGAAGAGUAUAUCAAGCACCAGUACACCACCCCCAACACCAUGGUGGAACAGAUCGAAAAUGAGUUCAGAGUUCCAGAGGGUCUAUGAGAGAGACAAGCUUACCCUUUCUCUAGACACAUAACACUUCUGAACAAAGAGGUUUGCUGGAGGUGUACCUAGAGCAUUACAAGCAAAACCGAGACGUCAUGGAGAAAAAGUGUUCCCAAUUGGCUAAUAUCUUUCACAUGGGCCUGAUGACACGAAUGGCAUAUACAGUGGUCAGAGAGGAGGGUGAAUGUUGAAGUCAGGGAGAAAUGGGCCCCCAGGGUGGAGAAGAUUCAGGCCAAGAUGGAUGAGGCGCUGGCCCAGUGUGAGGGGAACUGAUCCUCAUCCACUCCCAGGGUCGGGUGGCAUAUGAGGGCUUUAAAGGGAUACUUUGGGAUUUUGGCAAUGAGGCCCUUUAUCUACUUCACCAGAGUCAGACCAUUUUUAUGUCUGUUGUCCAGUAUAAAGGAAGUUAGAGGUAGUUAUGUGAGUCAAUGCUAACUAGCAUUAGCGCAAUGACUGGAAGUCUAUGGGGUUGUAACGUUUCUCGUCUUCCUCUGACGAGGAGUAUGACAGAUCGGACCAAUGUACAGUGUGGUAAGUGUCCAUAAUAUAUUUUAAUGAAAUAUCACUGGACACAGAAAACAAAAGGAACAAGAGAAAUAAAUGAAAACCAACACAGUCCCGUGUGGAACAAACACUGACACGGAAAAAUAAUCACCCACAAAACACAGAUAGGAAAAGUCUACCUAAGUAUGAUUCUCAAUUAGAGACAACGACGACAACUGCCUCUGAUUGAGAACCAUACUAGGCCAUGAAUGUAAGAUUAACCAUAAUGGGUAUCUAUUUGAACAGACAUACACACAUGCAAAUCUAAUAGUGCCACUGAUGCAACCUAGCACUUUCAGUAUCAAAUAAAUAAAUAAACAUUAUCUAUCCUGUGGACACUAUUAACAGAGCAUGCUGAUUGUGAUUGUAAACCAACCAAGUGCAGUGACAACACUAAACUAACCACACAGCAAUACAAAAGGUCAAAGUAAACAUUAGCUUUAAGUGCUUCCUCUCUUAUGUGUUCUCUUGUAUCUCAGAGAAAUUAAGUAUUAGAACAAAUCUUUGUUUGUUUUUCUAAGGGUGUGUUCAUAAAUUCACUCUGGCCAUCUACUCCGAUU
Molecule: long non-coding RNA, 1840 nt
Organism: Oncorhynchus tshawytscha (Chinook salmon)
Lineage: Eukaryota; Metazoa; Chordata; Actinopteri; Salmoniformes; Salmonidae
Source: Ensembl